This 396-nucleotide ribosomal RNA is filed under the name uncultured bacterium. RNAcentral describes it as "partial 16S ribosomal RNA". It matches the Rfam family "Bacterial small subunit ribosomal RNA", at positions 338 to 731 of the family's 1533-position model. The record is from RNAcentral.
CCUACGGGAGGCUGCAGUGAGGAAUAUUGGUCAAUGGACGAAAGUCUGACCCAGCCACGUCGCGUGAGGGAUGACUGCCCUAUGGGUUGUAACCUUCUUUUAUAAAGGAAUAAAACGAGGCACGUGUGCCUUUUUGCAUGUACUUUAUGAAUAAGGAUCGGCUAACUCCGUGCCAGCAGCCGCGGUAAUACGGAGGAUGCGAGCGUUAUCCGGAUUUAUUGGGCUUAAAGGGAGCGUAGAUGGGUUGUUAAGUCAGUUGUGAAAGUUUGGGGCUCAACCGUAGAAUUGCACUUGAUACUGGCAGUCUUGAGUACAGGUGAGGUAGGUGGAAUUCGUGGUGUAGCGGUGAAAUGCGUAGAUAUCACGAAGAACCCCGAUGGCGAAGGCAGCUUACUA